Molecule: ribosomal RNA, 576 nt
Filed under: uncultured eukaryote
Lineage: Eukaryota
Description: SSU rRNA
Rfam family: Eukaryotic small subunit ribosomal RNA
Source: RNAcentral
UAUUUAUUAGAUAACAGACCAAUAUUCCUCGUGUCUAUUGUGGUGACUCAUAGUAACUGAUCGGAUCGCAUGGCCUUGUGCCGCGACUAACCAUUCAAGUUUCUGACCCAUCAGCUUUCGAUGGUAGUGUAUUGGACUACCAUGGCUUUCACGGGUAACGGAGGAUUAGGGUUCGAUUCCGGAGAGGGAGCCUGAGAAACGGCUACCACAUCUAAGGAAGGCAGCAGGCGCGUAAAUUACCCAAUCCUGACUCAGGGAGGUAGUGACAAGAAAUAACGGGUCGGGGCAUUCGCCUCGGGAUUGCAAUGAAUCGAAUUUACACCCCUUAAUGAGGAUCAAUUGGAGGGCAAGUCUGGUGCCAGCAGCCGCGGUAAUUCCAGCUCCAAUAGCGUAUAUUAAAGUUGUUGCAGUUAAAAAGCUCGUAGUUUGAUUUCUGGACGGGCGCCAACACCCGCUUGUUUAGUGUGGAGGCGGCGCCCGCCCAUCCUUCUGUUAACGCCACCGGCAUUCGUUUGCUGGCGGCGGGCUCAGAUAUUUUACCUUGAGAAAAUUAGAGUGUUUCGGGCAGGCUUGCGC